Molecule: small RNA, 62 nt
Filed under: 'Nostoc azollae' 0708
Lineage: Bacteria; Bacillati; Cyanobacteriota; Cyanophyceae; Nostocales; Nostocaceae
Description: Nitrogen stress-induced RNA 1
Rfam family: Nitrogen stress-induced RNA 1
Source: Rfam by way of RNAcentral
UGGUAGAUGCACCUUGAUCUUCAACUCCUCUGGUAGGUUAACACCCACCGGAGGUUUUCUUU